This 85-nucleotide transfer RNA is filed under the name Candidatus Nomurabacteria bacterium. RNAcentral describes it as "tRNA-Leu". It matches the Rfam family "tRNA". From Rfam's summary of the family: Transfer RNA (tRNA) molecules are approximately 80 nucleotides in length. Their secondary structure includes four short double-helical elements and three loops (D, anti-codon, and T loops). Lineage: Bacteria; Candidatus Nomuraibacteriota. The record is from RNAcentral.
GCGCCUGUGGUGAAAUUGGUAUACACGCAGCCUUGAGGUGGCUGUGCCUUCGGGUGUGCUGGUUCAAGUCCAGUCAGGCGCACCA